UAGGGUUAACCUGCGGAGGGAUCAUUACACAAAUAUGAAGGCGGGCUGGAACCUCUCGGGGUUACAGCCUUGCUGAAUUAUUCACCCUUGUCUUUUGCGUACUUCUUGUUUCCUUGGUGGGUUCGCCCACCACUAGGACAAACAUAAACCUUUUGUAAUUGCAAUCAGCGUCAGUAACAAAUUAAUAAUUACAACUUUCAACAACGGAUCUCUUGGUUCUGGCAUCGAUGAAGAACGCAGCGAAAUGCGAUAAGUAGUGUGAAUUGCAGAAUUCAGUGAAUCAUCGAAUCUUUGAACGCACAUUGCGCCCUUUGGUAUUCCAAAGGGCAUGCCUGUUCGAGCGUCAUUUGUACCCUCAAGCUUUGCUUGGUGUUGGGCGUCUUGUCUCUAGCUUUGCUGGAGACUCGCCUUAAAGUAAUUGGCAGCCGGCCUACUGGUUUCGGAGCGCAGCACAAGUCGCACUCUCUAUCAGCAAAGGUCUAGCAUCCAUUAAGCCUUUUUUUCAACUUUUGACCUCGGAUCAGGUAGGGAUACCCGCUGAACUUAAGCAUAUCAAAAAGCCG
Molecule: ribosomal RNA, 563 nt
Filed under: Alternaria astragali
Lineage: Eukaryota; Fungi; Ascomycota; Dothideomycetes; Pleosporales; Pleosporaceae
Description: eukaryotic LSU rRNA
Rfam family: 5.8S ribosomal RNA (bases 193-346)
Source: RNAcentral